CACCGGAUCCCAUCAGAACUCCGAAGUUAAGCGUGCUUGGGCGAGAGUAGUACUAGGAUGGGUGACCUCCUGGGAAGUCCUCGUGUUGCACCCAU
This 95-nucleotide ribosomal RNA is filed under the name Eucalyptus obliqua (messmate stringybark). Lineage: Eukaryota; Viridiplantae; Streptophyta; Magnoliopsida; Myrtales; Myrtaceae. The record is from RNAcentral.